GGCAAGAUGGCAGUAUUGGCGUUAUGAUAGGUCAGAUCACCUGUCAAUCAAGCUCACUGUGAACGUUCAAUGACAUUUUAACAUGUAUUCACAAAGAAAACAUCUCAUAAUGUUUCACUUCUGUUAAAUGUGAUGAAAUAAAUCAUCUUUUGUGUGAAAUAUGAACAGCUAUGCUAAUCUUUCUCCUUUUGUUUUCCUGUUUCUCCAGCCUCGUGUGUGGAGACUUCAGAAGAUGCCAGACCUCACAAAGAUUUCAGAUGAUGGAAACUAGAUGAACAUGCAAAGCUGCUAAAUAAUCCUUAUAUUGUAAUCAUUGCCCUAAAAGGGAGGAACUUGUCAGUAAAUCUACUUCACAGCACAUCAGUGAAAGCAGUUGACAGUUACAGACGGGUGUGUUGGAUCAGGGUCAGAUCUGAAUUCUGAUGGUUUCCUGUGAUGACCGUUGAAGAGAUCAGCACAUCAGAUGUUGGCCUGGACAGCUGUACCUACAGUAAACCACACUGACUUCUUUGCAUGGAUAGCUGACUACUACUAUUAUGUUCUGUGAAGGUAUUAUUAUAGCAAACCUGAGCACCUGUGACAGUGGAAAUGUUGUAAUGAAUAGUCACACAUGCAUAUUUGUACAAGUCACAGAUAAAUUUUUUUAGUACUAACAAUAUAU
Molecule: long non-coding RNA, 661 nt
Organism: Carassius carassius (crucian carp)
Lineage: Eukaryota; Metazoa; Chordata; Actinopteri; Cypriniformes; Cyprinidae
Exons: 3
Source: RefSeq, a predicted model, not a curated record